GUGGGGAAUCUUGCGCAAUGGGCGAAAGCCUGACGCAGCCAUGCCGCGUGAAUGAUGAAGGUCUUAGGAUUGUAAAAUUCUUUCACCGGGGACGAUAAUGACGGUACCCGGAGAAGAAGCUCCGGCUAACUUCGUGCCAGCAGCCGCGGUAAUACGAAGGGGGCUAGCGUUGCUCGGAAUUACUGGGCGUAAAGGGCGCGUAGGCGGACAGCUUAGUCAGAGGUGAAAGCCCAGGGCUCAACCUUGGAAUUGCCUUUGAUACUGGCUGUCUUGAGUUUGGGAGAGGUGAGUGGAACUCCGAGUGUAGAGGUGAAAUUCGUAGAUAUUCGCAAGAACACCGGUGGCGAAGGCGGCCAACUGGUCCAUUACUGACGCUGAGGUGCGAAAGCGUGGGGAGCAAACAGGAUUAGAUACCCCUGUAGUCC
Molecule: ribosomal RNA, 425 nt
Filed under: uncultured bacterium
Lineage: Bacteria
Description: partial 16S ribosomal RNA
Rfam family: Bacterial small subunit ribosomal RNA
Source: RNAcentral